Pyrus x bretschneideri (Chinese white pear) is the source of this 2485-nucleotide RNA transcript. RefSeq lists it as uncharacterized. The record is from RefSeq and is a predicted model, not a curated record. The transcript is spliced from 9 exons. NCBI's taxonomy places the organism in Eukaryota, Viridiplantae, Streptophyta, Magnoliopsida, Rosales, Rosaceae.
UGAUGACGUGGGCUACGUGCACAAUGACCUUGAAACUUAAGGGUUGGUUUGAUCUGGGUUUUCAAGUAGCGGGGAAGUGUUGGCUGCUGCUGCUCCGCUCCCUCAACGCUCAUUUUUUACACAUCGCAUCGUCGAUCCGAUCCCGGCUCCAAUCCGCCAAACAGUGUGAUUUUGUGUGAAAGAAUCAAAGAUGUUGGGAAUUUAAAGGCAAAAAGUGGGAGCUGGAAGCUCAUCAGCCAUGAUUUUGGGGCGGAGGAUCCGCCCCGCCACGUCGGCAAUGAGGUGUUUCGCAUCUUCGGCGAAAGAGAUCGGUCGAUUCCGGAGGCCCUGCCAUUGAGGUACCUAAAAGCUGCCAUUUGGAUUUGUUCCCCAGAUGAUAAUGAUUGUUCUUUUGCUUUGAUGUAGAAGAGAUUGGGUUUUUCGAGUUUGUGACUGUUUUUUGAAGCCUGCGAAGACCUGUGUGUUUAAGAUUUCGGCAUGGGAAAGUUCACCUUCUAAUUAGAUUGUGUGCUUCUUGGGGAUGUUGGAGCUGGGAAAUCAAGUUUGGGGUUGCGCUUUGUAAAAGAACAAUUCGUUGAAUUCCAGCAAAGCGCGGGCAUUCCUGCUAGUGAUAUUGAUUCUGGAAGCAUGCCGAAACAAGGUUGUUUGAUCGCAAUUCACAAGAAUUGCUCCGCCAAUUAGGCUUCCACAACAUCAAUAACCCUUACGUUGAUAUGUACUUCCAUUGCACCAAGGACGCCAUGUCGAUCGUGGAAUUCCACAAAACUCUGAUGAACCAAGUGCUUCCCUUGGCCUGGUCGCAUAAUCCUCUAACCACCCACAAACUCAUCUGCAAUUUCAUAGACAGACGCGGCGACGGUGAAAAACGCAACCAAGACGAAGCUUUCUUCACAGCGACGGUUUGGCUCCACCAGAACCACUCGAAAACCGUUGCAUACAAUCUUGUGCCAAUUUCCGACUCCUUUGGACAUAUCCUACACCUUCCCUGCAUUCUUUCGCAGGUUUUACGGGGCGAAGCUCACUUGAAAUUUACUGGAAGGACGAGGGAAAAGGCGGAUUCAAAUGGGAUGGUGAAGGUCAAGGAAAAGGAUGCCAAGUCAGAGGUAAGCGAAUUGUUGUUGAGGAGGAAGGUGAUCCACACGGCCAACAAGGCGGCUCAAAAAUACAAGCGCGACGUUGAUUAUUGCUUCUUGCACAACUGUGUUUUGGAUAUUUUUGCCCAGAGCCUCAAGUUUGAUAUUGAAAAAUUUCAUCAUCACAAGGACCAUGACCAUGACCAUCAUGAUGAUUAUUGCUUGGAGAUUACCCAAGCAGUUACCUUUUUGCCUACCAUCGCUGAUCAUCAUAUGUUGUUUGAAAACAUUGCGAGGAAGGUUUUCCGGUCAGAAUCAUGCCUCUGAGAAGGGGAUGGUAGUCUUUGUUGUAUUGACCGACUGACGAAGGAGGUUUUGUCGCCCUUGAGAAAAACUAUGGCGCCAGAGGCCUGGGAACCUGCCAACCGGUGGGGUUAUAGAGCGGAGUACAAGCGAGAGCAACUGGCUGUAGCUAAUGAGGUUGAUCCUGGCGUGCAGCGCUGCUUUCGCAUGACAUAUUAAGCUAUAUCAAGUAUUUUGAGCUUGAGCAAGAGGCUGAUGUUAAGUGGAAGAAAAUGAUGGAGGUCUACUCAAAGCAGGGGAAGCAGAAGAAUUGGUUGGCUGUGUGAUGUCGACAACACCUUGUCGGCGGGUUUGGCUUUGGGGCUUUUGUUGCUUCAAUUGAGUGACGAGCCAUGGAAGGGAAAUGUGGUCACCUAAAGCAAAGACCCUCAGCUGCAUUCGAUUCAAGGCGAGGAUCUUAAUUGGAAGGCCGAAUAUAUGCAAACUUUGAUCAAAAGCCAGGACUGGACGGCUGAUUUCGGGAACGUGUUCGAUGUGAUUCUAGAAGAGGUGGUGAAUGCGAAUUUGAAGCUAGAUAAGAUGGUCAAGAAGGUGUUUGCCUUGACCACAUACAAACACUUCUUGACAGGCAGCAACUUCAGCUUCUGGGGGGAGAUUAAGAUGUCUACCUUUGUUCUUCUAGUUUAUGCUACUACUUUCACUUCUCCAAAGCUCUCCUUUCUUUGAGUUCUGAUAAGACUAAGAGAAAGUAUAUAUAGGGGUAUAUGUGUUGCUAAUAAGUGUGUGUGUGUGUGUGUGUGUGUGUGUGUGUAGAGAAGAGCAAAGUGAGUGACAAGAACUAAAAAAGUGGAUCUUGAAAACGGUAGGCUUAUAACGUUCAAAUUCUAACAGUCACUUUGAGUAGGGCAAUAGAAACGAAUAAAAUGUGGGGCCUGGACUUGUUGCCUCAAGUGAUCUGGCACUGGCACUUCCAAAUGUAAAGAAAAAGGGCACAAAGACAACUAGAUGAGCACCAUAGCCUUAAAUGGGUUGAUCUUGCUUUGGAAUUUUUGGUUGAUUCGAGGUUAUUUUUCAAUUGAGAUUUGCUUUGGUGAGCAUGAACUUCCCUA